Molecule: long non-coding RNA, 497 nt
Organism: Esox lucius (northern pike)
Lineage: Eukaryota; Metazoa; Chordata; Actinopteri; Esociformes; Esocidae
Exons: 4
Source: RefSeq, a predicted model, not a curated record
ACUAUAGUUGCUUCAAUGGCCGGAUGAAGCGUCUCAAAGGACAUCGAUUGAAAUACUGUCAGAAAGAUCCGGAGGGCAGACGAUGCAGCGCAGGUGCACCCGGUUGGAGGCAAGGGCCGAAGAUAGACCAACAAACCCAGAUGCCUCACCAACUGUACUGACACAACUUCUUUACCAAACACCUCCUGAAGCAGACCACUCCAGGCACAUAAGCUUAUGGGAAGGCUGGAGUUCUGUCCGAGCUGCUGGAUGAGAAGAGGAGGAAGUGGCCCACCAUGCUGACCUGAGCGCUGGGGUGGAACACUUCCUACAGCUUAGUGGAGUUUGAGCCCUGGUAUCUGCAACCUUCCAACAUUCACUGCAUUGGUCAGUCACCACGUUGGUAUGCUAGGACCCGACAACCUCUUCACAGGCCGCUGAGAUAAGCCAACCGUCUGUGGAUAUUUUGGUGUCUUUGUAACUGCAACAUGAAUUAAAAACGAUGUCAAAGUGUGUAA